GAUGAACGCUAGCUACAGGCUUAACACAUGCAAGUCGAGGGGAAACGACAUCGAAAGCUUGCUUUUGAUGGGCGUCGACCGGCGCACGGGUGAGUAACGCGUAUCCCACCUGUCCAUCACUUGGGAAUAACCUUGCGAAAGUAAGACUAAUACCCAAUGAUAACCCAUGAAGGCAUCGGAAUGGGAUUAAUGAUUUAUCGGUGAUGGAUGGGGUUGCGUCUGAUUAGCUUGUUGGCGGGGUAACGGCCCACCAAGGCAACGAUCAGUAGCGGUUCUGAGAGUAAGGUCCACCAGAUUGGAGCUGCGGCACAGACCACUCUCCGACGGAGGGGUGCGGUAUGGUAUAUAAUGCGCUGAAGGAGGGCCCAGACCAGCCGAGUGGGGUACGAAGGGACUGGCCUUGUAAAUGUAAACUGCUUUUAAAGAAAAAUAGCGUGGGUAACGUGUGACUUUUUGACGGUACCUUAUGAAUAAGCGCCGGCUAAUUCCGUG
Molecule: ribosomal RNA, 492 nt
Filed under: uncultured bacterium
Lineage: Bacteria
Description: partial 16S ribosomal RNA
Rfam family: Bacterial small subunit ribosomal RNA
Source: RNAcentral